CGGAGCGUAGCGCAGCCUGGUAGCGCAUCUGCUUUGGGAGCAGGGGGUCGCGAGUUCGAAUCCCGCCGCUCCGACCA
RNAcentral lists this transfer RNA (77 nucleotides) under Verminephrobacter eiseniae. RNAcentral describes it as "tRNA-Pro". It matches the Rfam family "tRNA". Rfam says of the family: Transfer RNA (tRNA) molecules are approximately 80 nucleotides in length. Their secondary structure includes four short double-helical elements and three loops (D, anti-codon, and T loops). Lineage: Bacteria; Pseudomonadati; Pseudomonadota; Betaproteobacteria; Burkholderiales; Comamonadaceae. The record is from RNAcentral. RNAcentral also lists the same sequence under 1 other name.